This is an RNA transcript of Bufo bufo (common toad), 592 nucleotides long. It is a transcript of the gene named gastrula zinc finger protein XlCGF53.1-like, with no coding region annotated. The record is from RefSeq and is a predicted model, not a curated record. Lineage: Eukaryota; Metazoa; Chordata; Amphibia; Anura; Bufonidae. The transcript is spliced from 4 exons.
GCGGGACCGUGGCAGAGGACGGGGACUCCUAGCAGAGCUGAACUGAUGUGGAUUCCUGCACCUGCUAUCUAGAGAGAGAGGAAAAGACAACGUGGUGGGACAUGUAAGCGACUGUAUCAGGAGCCAGACGACACCUGCCCCCAUGUACCAGACCAAGACAAGCAGCUACCUCGUGGGAGAAUGUGACAGGACUGAUCUCUGCCCAGCUACCUACAGAACUAUUCCUUAGGUGCAGGAACCCUACAGCUACAAUUUUUUUUUGCAAGUCAAUGGUCCUUCUCAUCACUGACCCACCAAGGAUGGACGAGGGAAGAAACCACAUGGCUACGAGGAUAUUAGACCUCACCCUAGAGAUCAUCUACCUGAUAACUGGAGAGGAUUACACAGUAGUAAAGAGGUCGUCUGAUAAGUGUGUGACACCCCAUGUGUCCAGGACCCCAGGAGCCAUCACUGAGCCUCCACCUCAUUCACUGAUACAUGAGCAGAAGAUCCUAGAACUUACCAACAGGAUCACUGAGCUGCUAACCAGAGAGGUUCCUAUAAGGUGUCAGGAUGUCGCUGUCUAUUUCUCCAUGGAGGAGUGGGAGUAUUU